Molecule: ribosomal RNA, 917 nt
Filed under: uncultured bacterium
Lineage: Bacteria
Description: bacterial SSU rRNA
Rfam family: Bacterial small subunit ribosomal RNA
Source: RNAcentral
UCCCGAGCGUUNUCCGGAUUUAUUGGGCGUAAAGCGAGCGCAGGCGGUUAGAUAAGUNUGAAGUUAAAGGCUGUGGCUUAACCAUAGUACGCUUUGGAAACUGUUUAACUUGAGUGCAGAAGGGGAGAGUGGAAUUCCAUGUGUAGCGGUGAAAUGCGUAGAUAUAUGGAGGAACACCNGUGGCGAAAGCGGCUCUCUGGUCUGUAACUGACGCUGAGGCUNGAAAGCGUGGGGAGCGAACAGGAUUAGAUACCCUGGUAGUCCACGCCGUAAACGAUGAGUGCUAGGUGUUAGGCCCUUUCCGGGGCUUAGUGCCGCAGCUAACGCAUUAAGCACUCCGCCUGGGGAGUACGACCGCAAGGUUGAAACUCAAAGGAAUUGACGGGGGCCCGCACAAGCGGUGGAGCAUGUGGUUUAAUUCGAAGCAACGCGAAGAACCUUACCAGGUCUUGACAUCCCGAUGCCCGCUCUAGAGAUAGAGUUUUACUUCGGUACAUCGGUGACAGGUGGUGCAUGGUUGUCGUCAGCUCGUGUCGUGAGAUGUUGGGUUAAGUCCCGCAACGAGCGCAACCCUUAUUGUUAGUUGCCAUCAUUCAGUUGGGCACUCUAGCGAGACUGCCGGUAAUAAACCGGAGGAAGGUGGGGAUGACGUCAAAUCAUCAUGCCCCUUAUGACCUGGGCUACACACGUGCUACAAUGGCUGGUACAACGAGUCGCAAGUCGGUGACGGCAAGCUAAUCUCUUAAAGCCAGUCUCAGUUCGGAUUGUAGGCUGCAACUCGCCUACAUGAAGUCGGAAUCGCUAGUAAUCGCGGAUCAGCACGCCGCGGUGAAUACGUUCCCGGGCCUUGUACACACCGCCCGUCACACCACGAGAGUUUGUAACACCCGAAGUCGGUGAGGUAACCUUUUAGGAGC